UACGUAGGGACCAAGCGUUGUUCGGAUUUACUGGGCGUAAAGGGCGCGUAGGCGGCCUGACAGGUCACUUGUGAAAUCUCCGAGCUUAACUCGGAACGGUCAAGUGAAACCAACAGGCUAGAGUGCAGAAGGGGCAAUCGGAAUUCUUGGUGUAGCGGUGAAAUGCGUAGAUAUCAAGAGGAACACCUGAGGUGAAGACGGGUUGCUGGGCUGACACUGACGCUGAGGCGCGAAAGCCAGGGGAGCAAACGGG
Molecule: ribosomal RNA, 253 nt
Filed under: uncultured bacterium
Lineage: Bacteria
Description: partial 16S ribosomal RNA
Rfam family: Bacterial small subunit ribosomal RNA
Source: RNAcentral